Molecule: ribosomal RNA, 94 nt
Filed under: Neomoorea wallisii
Lineage: Eukaryota; Viridiplantae; Streptophyta; Magnoliopsida; Asparagales; Orchidaceae
Description: 5.8S ribosomal RNA
Rfam family: 5.8S ribosomal RNA
About the family: 5.8S ribosomal RNA (5.8S rRNA) is a component of the large subunit of the eukaryotic ribosome. It is transcribed by RNA polymerase I as part of the 45S precursor that also contains 18S and 28S rRNA. Functionally, it is thought that 5.8S rRNA may be involved in ribosome translocation.
Source: RNAcentral
GACACGACUCUCGGCAAUGGAUAUCUCGGCUCCCGCAUCGAUGAAAAGCGCAGCAAAAUGCGAUACGUGGUGCGAAUUGCAGAAUCCCGCGAAC